Molecule: long non-coding RNA, 471 nt
Filed under: Lynx canadensis (Canada lynx)
Lineage: Eukaryota; Metazoa; Chordata; Mammalia; Carnivora; Felidae
Description: lncRNA (ENSLCNG00005001984.1)
Source: RNAcentral
GCGCCGAAAGCACGCCCGGUGAGGCUGUAUGUAUUGGACAGCGGGUCGUGUCCAGUCUCGCUCUGUGCCAGGGACUGCCCUUAAACAGGCUUCUACAUGUUUUAGCUCACGGAACAAGCCUGUGAGGUGGGGGCUGUUAUCCCUGUUGUAUAGGUGAAAAAACUGAGGCACCCUAGUGCGGGAUCAUAGGUAGCUGUUGAGUGGGUAGCAGCCAGGAUUUCAGCCCACGAAUCCUGGCUCCAGACCUCAUGCUCUUCAGUCCGUUAUGGAAGGCAGCCUCGCAGAACACAGCAACGGGUUCUCCUGAUUCAUUUCGAUUCGAGUUGGUCCUCCCAGUGUCAGCCUCGUUGUCGUCCUUGUGUGCUUUGGUGGCUUAAGAGAAGGCAGUGUGUUACAUCGGCGACUGCACCUGCGCAAGGUCCCAGCUGUACUCAAGGAGUCCGUCAGGAGUUAAGGAUCCUGAAGCAGUAG